RNAcentral lists this ribosomal RNA (449 nucleotides) under uncultured Synechococcus sp. RNAcentral describes it as "bacterial SSU rRNA". It matches the Rfam family "Bacterial small subunit ribosomal RNA", at positions 8 to 503 of the family's 1533-position model. Lineage: Bacteria; Bacillati; Cyanobacteriota; Cyanophyceae; Synechococcales; Synechococcaceae. The record is from RNAcentral.
AGGCUUUGAUCCUGGCUCAGGAUGAACGCUGGCGGCGUGCUUAACACAUGCAAGUCGAACGAACCUUCGGGUUAGUGGCGGACGGGUGAGUAACGCGUGAGAAUCUGCCCUCAGGAGGGGGAUAACGGCUGGAAACGGCCGCUAAUACCCCAUAUGCCGAGAGGUGAAACGAAUUUCGCCUGAGGAUGAGCUCGCGUCUGAUUAGCUAGUUGGUGGGGUAAAGGCCUACCAAGGCGACGAUCAGUAGCUGGUCUGAGAGGAUGAUCAGCCACACUGGGACUGAGACACGGCCCAGACUCCUACGGGAGGCAGCAGUGGGGAAUUUUCCGCAAUGGGCGAAAGCCUGACGGAGCAACGCCGCGUGAGGGAUGAAGGCCUCUGGGCUGUAAACCUCUUUUAUCAAGGAAGAAGAUCUGACGGUACUGUUAGUAAUGCCCAGCGGCUAUAUC